CUUCACAAUCUGCUGCUAAGGCACCCAGGACAACAACAACAGGAAAUUCUUCCAGGCUUUCCUCCAGCUAUGAUUGCCUGAUGACAGUGCCCCAUCUUACCAAGAGAUCAGUGCUUUGCACCUGCCCUGCACCUGAGGUUGGUGGAGUUCACCAGUACCCUUGUAUCCACUGUUCUUCCACUGACAGAAAAUAGUUUCUUGCCACUAUGUGAAGACACAGAUAUUUGUACUUUGGCCACGACUGAAGAGUUAAGCCCUUAUUUUGUGUGCAUAAGGUGAAAAAAAAAAAAAAAAAAAAAAGGACUGAGUGGUUUUUACUCAUAUGCAUUUAAUUACAGUUGCUUUCAGCUGAGCCUUGGGUUGACCUGGCCUUUGUCCAGGUGCUUGGAGAGGAAAUGCAGCAUUUACCUUCAUGAGGCACCAUGUAACAAGACUUGUGCCCUAUGGUCCGUACUUUGGGAAGGAGGAGGAAGAAGAAGAAAAAAAGGAG
Gallus gallus (chicken) is the source of this 490-nucleotide long non-coding RNA. NCBI's taxonomy places the organism in Eukaryota, Metazoa, Chordata, Aves, Galliformes, Phasianidae. The record is from Ensembl.